Molecule: ribosomal RNA, 339 nt
Filed under: uncultured bacterium
Lineage: Bacteria
Description: bacterial SSU rRNA
Rfam family: Bacterial small subunit ribosomal RNA
Source: RNAcentral
AUUGAACGCUGGCGGCAUGCUUUACACAUGCAAGUCGAACGGGGUGAGGGGGCAACCUCUCAUUCAGUGGCGAACGGGUGAGUAAUGCAUCGGAACGUGUCCCGUAGUGGGGGAUAACCCAGCGAAAGCUGGGCUAAUACCGCAUAUGCUCUGAGGAGGAAAGUGGGGGAUCUGAGAGGACCUCACGCUAUGGGAGCGGCCGAUGUCCGAUUAGCUAGNGGUGGGUAAUGGCCUACCAAGGCGACGAUCGGUAGCUGGUCUGAGAGGAUGAUCAGCCACACUGGGACUGAGACACGGCCCAGACUCCUACGGGAGGCAGCAGUGGGGAAUUUUGGACAA